GCCGGGCGAGGUGGCAGGCGCCUGUAGUCCCAGCUACUUCGGAGGCUGAGGCAGGAGAAUGGCGUGAACCUGGGAGGCGGAGCUUGCAGUGAGCCGAGAUUGCACCACUGCACUCCAGCAUGGGUGAUAAAGCAAGAUGCUAUCUCAGUGGCCGGAUCUCGGCUCACUGCAAGCUCCGCCUCCCAGGUUCACGCCAUUCUCCUGCCUCAG
RNAcentral lists this non-coding RNA (210 nucleotides) under Chlorocebus sabaeus (green monkey). Lineage: Eukaryota; Metazoa; Chordata; Mammalia; Primates; Cercopithecidae. The record is from Rfam by way of RNAcentral.